AUACAAUAUGGUCCAAGAGAAACAUCAGAAGACAAAAGUAAAUACAAAACUAUUUGUCACAAGGACUUGUAAAGUGGGAGGUUUAAUUGUUUACUGUUAUCAAUAUAGGAAAUGGGUCAAACUUCAGGGCUAAUUUUAAUUCUCUGAUUCUUUUCUUAUUCCAGGGGAAUGGAAAGAUCUAUUUGCAGCCGUGUAAAUUCAUUAUUUCUGGUAAGAGAUAGGCCGAUGUUUCCAUGCGUUUAUGACGAGCUCAGCCCAUGUGUGGCCGGGCCGCCCACAGACUUCCUCUCGCAGCGAGUUUCAACUCGAUUGGACCGAGCUGGGAUUUUACUCAAAAGUCAAGAGAAAACCAUUACGUCUUUGAGUUUUCAUUGAGCGAUAUCUUCAGAGGUUUUUUUCUCUCUGGCUGUGUUUUUUUACAAACUGGAUAAUCUCCAGAUUACGAGCAAAAAAUAAAUAUCAGUCGCUUGCUAUUUACAAAGGAGCCGAGGCGAUGGUUCAGUCCCCAGCUGGCGGGCCGGCCCAGUCGCUGACAAUGGGUCUUAACAGUAAAACCCCUUUGAUGGCGGUCCAGCCACUGACCAUGUGAACGUGACUUCUGCCCCAUUGUGCGAUUCUUUGAUCUCCACUUUCAUAGGUCCGUUCUAAACAGACAAAAGGUAAAUGGGAGAAGAGUGGAGACGUGAGAUAGAUCUGCAGAGUAGCUUGAUUCCAGGGCAUCAGUAAUUUCAGCAAGAAUCGUGAAGGGCCGUUCCUCACCAAAAUAAGAUCCGCACAGAUCUACAUCACUAUACUGUACUGAUUAAGCUCCACCUGAUGCCAUAACUUCCUACCUCCUUGACAAAUUAGAUCAAAAUUACCUCCAGA
Molecule: long non-coding RNA, 867 nt
Organism: Amblyraja radiata (thorny skate)
Lineage: Eukaryota; Metazoa; Chordata; Chondrichthyes; Rajiformes; Rajidae
Exons: 3
Source: RefSeq, a predicted model, not a curated record